Molecule: long non-coding RNA, 261 nt
Organism: Drosophila bipectinata
Lineage: Eukaryota; Metazoa; Arthropoda; Insecta; Diptera; Drosophilidae
Source: RefSeq, a predicted model, not a curated record
GCACACCAGUUUCACAAGUCUUUUAACGAACAGCACACAUUUUUAAUAGGUAUUGAAAAUAAGCGGCAAAUAUAAGAUUAUGCGAACAAGAAUGAAUUAUGGGUAACAAGAACUUCGAAAAUGUCGGAUAAUUUGAAAUAAAAAAUCUAAAGGUACUUGUAUAACAUCAUUCGCCGCGCUAGUUCCUACACAUAUCCGACAAAUAUUCAGCAAAUUUAGAAUUAUUAGUUCUAUUACCAAAUAAACCAAUAUACACCGCCA